AUUAAGCGGAGGAAAAGAAACUAACUAGGAUUCCCUUAGUAGCGGCGAGCGAACAGGGAUAAGCCCAGCACUGAACCCCGUGUAUUGGUUAACAGUCACUUGGGGAAUGUAGUGUUUGGGAGGGUCCAAUUAACCUGUUGCCAUGUAAUCAAGUCCAAGUCCAUCUUGAAUGGGGCCAUUUACCCAUAGAGGGUGCCAGGCCCGUAGUGACUGUUACUGGUGGCAGGUGGAUCUCUCCUUAGAGUCGGGUUGCUUGAGAGUGCAGCUCUAAGUGGGUGGUAAACUCCAUCUAAGGCUAAAUAUGACCACGAGACCGAUAGCGAACAAGUACCGUGAGGGAAAGUUGAAAAGAACUUUGAAGAGAGAGUUCAAUAGUACGUAAAACCGUUCAGGGGUAAACCUGAGAAACCCGAAAGGUCGAGAGACAAGAUUCAUUUACUUUUUAUCGUUAAUCAACCAACUGUACUUGUAUGUGACAAAUUUAUAGCACUAUGCCAUUUAAACAUGUAAUGUACUUGUAUGUUGCAUGGGUGUAUGUGUUAAUAGAUAUUUGCACUAUUGUAUGUUGUUAAUUGUAUGAUAACGAGGUAUGCACUUCUUGUCUUGUAGGACGUCGCGACCCAUUAAAUAUUGAUCUAUAGGCUAUGGGUGCGUUGCCUAUUGCACUGGGCUGUUCUUGUGAUAGUCUAUUUGUGUGAUAGACGCCUCUAAGUUCUUGAUCAAUUGUUUGAUGGUAAUAAAUUUAUUAAUAUUGGGCCGCGUUAUUAACGCAUUAAUAUCAUCACGAGUUAUAAGUAGGGUUAGAUUUUUCAAAUUUAAUCAUAUUGAAUAUAUGGACUUGUGCCAUAUACUUAAUGCUACUUAGCUGUCAGUUGAUGAAUAUUUUAAUUGGCUCAUGGAUACUUGUAUCCAAUAUUUGUCAGCGACGCUUUAGCUUUGGGUACUUUCAGGACCCGUCUUGAAACACGGACCAAGGAGUCUAGCAUGUACGCAAGUCAUUGGGAAUAAUAUGUAUUUUUUCAUCGGAAUAUAUAUGAUAUUUUAUGAAACCCAAAGGCGUAAUGAAAGUAAAUGGUUAAUUAUUGGCUUCACGGCCUUUAGUUGUUAAAAAUCAUAAGGGAGGAUAUAUUUAUAUUAUGUAUUAAAUGUCGCACUCCCGGGGCGUCUUAUAUUUAUUCUUUUAUAUUUUUAUCAAUAUUGAAAUGAAUAAGAGUCGCACCUAGAGCGUACACGCUGGGACCCGAAAGAUGGUGAACUAUGCCUGGUCAGGACGAAGUCAGGGGAAACCCUGAUGGAGGUCCGUAGCGAUUCUGACGUGCAAAUCGAUCGUCGGAACUGGGUAUAGGGGCGAAAGACUAAUCGAACCAUCUAGUAGCUGGUUCCCUCCGAAGUUUCCCUCAGGAUAGCUGGCGCUCAUUGUAUUGAGUCUCAUCCGGUAAAGCGAAUGAUUAGAGGCCUUGGGGCCGAAACGACCUCAACCUAUUCUCAAACUUUAAAUGGGUGAGAUCUCUAGCUUGCUUAAAAUUACAUAUUUAUAUGUAUGAAGCUACGAGAUUAAAAAGUUAUUUUUAAUUGGAUCAGAGUGCCAAGUGGGCCACUUUUGGUAAGCAGAACUGGCGCUGUGGGAUGAACCAAACGUAGAGUUAAAGCGCCUAAAUCGACGCUUAUGGGAUACCAUGAAAGGCGUUGGUUGCUUAAGACAGCAGGACGGUGGCCAUGGAAGUCGGAAUCCGCUAAGGAGUGUGUAACAACUCACCUGCCGAAGCAACUAGCCCUGAAAAUGGAUGGCGCUGAAGCGUCGUGCUUAUACUCUACCGUCAGUUGGUAUUAUAGAUGGGCUACAUAAUUUAUUAUGUACUUGUCAUGAAACCCUGACGAGUAGGAGGGUCGCGGUGGUGAGCGCGGAAGGAUUGGCCGUGAGGCCAUCUGGAGCCGCCAUCGGUGCAGAUCUUGGUGGUAGUAGCAAAUACUCCAGCGAGGCCCUGGAGGACUGACGUGGAGAAGGGUUUCGUGUGAACAGCCGUUGCACACGAGUCAGUCGAUCCUAAGCCCUAGGUGAAAACCGAUGUUAAUGUUUGAUGUGUUUUUAUAAUAAUAAUAUUUUUUUAUAUAUUAUGUAAAGAAAUUUUCCUUUAAUUAAAAUUAUUUUAAUAAUAAUUUUUUUUUAAUUGCGAAAAUUAUAUUACUGGAAAAAAAAAUAUAUAUAUUUUUUUAUACAUACAUCCAUUGGGCGAAAGGGAAACCGGUUCCUAUUCCGGUACCCGGCUGCGGAACUGUUAUAACGUCGGGCCCUCGCAAGAGAGUUCGUCGGGGUAACCCAAAAAGACCUGGAGACGCCGUCGGAAGAUCCAGGAAGAGUUUUCUUUUCUGCAUGAGCGUUCGAGUUCCCUGGAAUCCUCUAGCAGGGCGAUAGGGUUUGGAACGCGAAGAGCACCGCAGUUGCGGCGGUGUCUGGAUCAUUCCCUCGGACCUUGAAAAUCCAGGUGAGGGCCACGUGGAGAUGUCGCGCCGGUUCGUACCCAUAUCCGCAGCAGGUCUCCAAGGUGAAGAGCCUCUAGUC
RNAcentral lists this ribosomal RNA (2560 nucleotides) under Hemerobius sp. BYU_ACNE043. RNAcentral's name for it is "eukaryotic LSU rRNA". It matches the Rfam family "Eukaryotic large subunit ribosomal RNA", at positions 45 to 1888 of the family's 3401-position model. The record is from RNAcentral. Lineage: Eukaryota; Metazoa; Arthropoda; Insecta; Neuroptera; Hemerobiidae.